UCGGGCGUCCGGGUUUCGUCACCAUCAGGACGAGGUUCUCCUCCCAUUCCCAAUGGGGCUGCGGGGGCACGUAAGGGCCAUUGCCAGGGUCUCUCCCCCCAAUCCGGUCUAAAGGAACCGGACCUUCGACUUUGCUCAUGUCAGGAUGAGGUUCUCCUCCUGUUCCUGACAUGGCCGUGGGGGCGCGUUAGGGCGUUGUAAGACCUCUCCCCCCAUCCGGUCUAAAAGAACCGGGCCUUCAACUUUGAUCAUGUCAGGAUGAGGUUCUCCUCCUAUUUCUGACAUGGCUGUGGGGGCACAUUAGGGCGCUGUAAGGCCUCUCCCCCCAUUCGGUCUAAAAGAACCGGAACUUUGACUUUGCUCAUGCC
Molecule: long non-coding RNA, 368 nt
Filed under: Elaeis guineensis (African oil palm)
Lineage: Eukaryota; Viridiplantae; Streptophyta; Magnoliopsida; Arecales; Arecaceae
Description: long non-coding RNA (EGUI_LNC075193)
Source: RNAcentral